CCGUGCUAGAUGGGGAGGUAGCGGUGCCUUGUUACCCACAAUCCGCUAUAGUGGGGUCGAAUUCCUGCCGGAGGGUUUAUUCCUGUGGGGUCUGCCUUAAACAAGUGGCUAUGAGAGCCGGGUCCUACGCAACAAGAAGUUAUGAACCCCGUCAGGUCCGGAAGGAAGCAGCGGUAAGUAACCACUCUUGUGUGCCGCAGGGCAACCUAGCUUGAGUUAACUGUUUGAGUAACGCUUGGAGGAGUAGUUCGAAGGUAGGUGCACGG
This 266-nucleotide signal recognition particle RNA is filed under the name Bacillota bacterium. Its description in RNAcentral is "signal recognition particle sRNA large type". It matches the Rfam family "Bacterial large signal recognition particle RNA". From Rfam's summary of the family: The signal recognition particle (SRP) is a universally conserved ribonucleoprotein involved in the co-translational targeting of proteins to membranes. Archaeal SRP consists of a 7S RNA and homologues of the eukaryotic SRP19 and SRP54 proteins. In most bacteria, the SRP consists of a 4.5S RNA and the Ffh protein (a homologue of the eukaryotic SRP54 protein). The record is from RNAcentral. RNAcentral also lists the same sequence under 1 other name. Lineage: Bacteria; Bacillati; Bacillota.